RNAcentral lists this ribosomal RNA (445 nucleotides) under uncultured Porphyrobacter sp. Its description in RNAcentral is "bacterial SSU rRNA". It matches the Rfam family "Bacterial small subunit ribosomal RNA", at positions 8 to 499 of the family's 1533-position model. Lineage: Bacteria; Pseudomonadati; Pseudomonadota; Alphaproteobacteria; Sphingomonadales; Erythrobacteraceae. The record is from RNAcentral.
AGGCUUUGAUCCUGGCUCAGAACGAACGCUGGCGGCAUGCCUAACACAUGCAAGUCGAACGAGACCUUCGAGUCUAGUGGCGCACGGGUGCGUAACGCGUGGGAACCUGCCCUUAGGUUCGGAAUAACUCAGAGAAAUUUGAGCUAAUACCGGAUAAUGUCUUCGGACCAAAGAUUUAUCGCCUUUGGAUGGGCCCGCGUUGGAUUAGCUAGUUGGUGGGGUAAUGGCCUACCAAGGCGACGAUCCAUAGCUGGUCUGAGAGGAUGAUCAGCCACACUGGGACUGAGACACGGCCCAGACUCCUACGGGAGGCAGCAGUGGGGAAUCUUGCGCAAUGGGCGAAAGCCUGACGCAGCAACGCCGCGUGCGGGAUGACGGCCUUCGUGGUUGUAAACCGCUUUCAGCAGGGACGAAAAUGACGGUACCUGCAGAAGAGCCCCGGUGA